AAGAUGCAACAAGAGAGCUUAUGGGACCAAAACCAGGAGCUCUUAAUGCUGUGACCUGAGAUUGAAGUUGUCCAUAGGAUGUAACAGGCACCCAAUAGCGCUAUGUUUUCCUGAGGAGAUAUAAGA
Molecule: small nucleolar RNA, 126 nt
Organism: Myotis lucifugus (little brown bat)
Lineage: Eukaryota; Metazoa; Chordata; Mammalia; Chiroptera; Vespertilionidae
Source: Ensembl